This 497-nucleotide ribosomal RNA is filed under the name uncultured bacterium. Its description in RNAcentral is "partial 16S ribosomal RNA". It matches the Rfam family "Bacterial small subunit ribosomal RNA", at positions 28 to 507 of the family's 1533-position model. The record is from RNAcentral.
GACGAACGCUGGCGGCGUGCCUAAUACAUGCAAGUAGAACGCUGAAGGAAGGAGCUUGCUCUUUCUGGAUGAGUUGCGAACGGGUGAGUAACGCGUAGGUAACCUGCCUGGUAGCGGGGGAUAACUAUUGGAAACGAUAGCUAAUACCGCAUAAAAUUGAUUAUUGCAUGAUAGUCAAUUAAAAGGUGCAACUGCACCACUACCAGAUGGACCUGCGUUGUAUUAGCUAGUUGGUGGGGUAACGGCUCACCAAGGCGACGAUACAUAGCCGACCUGAGAGGGUGGUCGGCCACACUGGGACUGGGACACGGCCCAGACUCCUACGGGAGGCAGCAGUAGGGAAUCUUCGGCAAUGGACGGAAGUCUGACCGAGCAACGCCGCGUGAGUGAAGAAGGUUUUCGGAUCGUAAAGCUCUGUUGUAAGAGAAGAACGAGUGUGAGAGUGGAAAGUUCACACUGUGACGGUAUCUUACCAGAAAGGGACGGCUAACUACGUG